Long non-coding RNA from Suricata suricatta (meerkat), 663 nucleotides. RefSeq lists it as uncharacterized. The transcript is spliced from 3 exons. Lineage: Eukaryota; Metazoa; Chordata; Mammalia; Carnivora; Herpestidae. The record is from RefSeq and is a predicted model, not a curated record.
UCGUGGUCUCUGGGGAAAAGGAUCUUCUCACACAGGCAGUCAUUUGGGCCCACAUCCACCGAUGGGCCUUCUGAGGGAAACACGAUCGUCCCCACUGUGCAACUGAAAAAGAGGACUGAUCUGCCUUCAAGGAGGAAAGGCAAUAACCUUCCAGAAAAGCCCAGGCUUCCUUCUCACACUCAUUUUCGGGAGUAAUGGAGGGUCUGCAAGAGCCCUCAGUUGUGUCCACUCGACUGUGUCAGAUGCUUCAGCCCCCAGGACAUCCCUGUCCCUGCAGUGUCCCUGAUCCGCCAACACUGGGAGCGAGAGGGACCGCCCAGCCCAUUCUGGUUCUGCACGUCUCACAUCGUUCUUGGACAUCAGGCUCCAGGACCAAGCGGAGGGAUCCUUCCCCGAGGGAGCAGUCCUGUGGACGGCUAAGUCCCUGCGCCCCGGCCCUGGUCUUCCUGCCUCCAGGGCGCCCACCCUCAAGGUCUUUGCCUCAGCAAGAUGUGUCUGUGCGGAUCCGAAAUCUGCUCACAGCACAUGGUGCCUCUGUCCUUGGGCUCAACGUCAGCUACACUCAUCGGGCAGCCGUGCUGUGGUCUCAUCUGAAGGCUCGGCCGUGGGGGAGUUGGCGUCCAGCUUACUUGGGUUCUGCACCACCUGUUGUUUGGAAAUGCC